GCGCCAGUAGCUCAGCUGGAUAGAGCACCAGAUUUCUAAUCUGGGGGUCGGGGGUUCGAGCCCUCCCUGGCGUA
RNAcentral lists this transfer RNA (74 nucleotides) under Candidatus Scalindua sp. RNAcentral describes it as "tRNA-Arg". It matches the Rfam family "tRNA". From Rfam's summary of the family: Transfer RNA (tRNA) molecules are approximately 80 nucleotides in length. Their secondary structure includes four short double-helical elements and three loops (D, anti-codon, and T loops). Lineage: Bacteria; Pseudomonadati; Planctomycetota; Candidatus Brocadiia; Candidatus Brocadiales; Candidatus Scalinduaceae. The record is from RNAcentral.